CGGGAGGGAAGAACGUUCACGGGGUGAACAAUCCCGGGGACUGACGGUACCUCCAAAGGAAGCGCCGGCUAACUCCGUGCCUGCAGCCGCGGUAAUACGGAGGGCGCAAGCGUUGUUCGGAAUCAUUGGGCGUAAAGCGCGUGUAGGCGGCUUGGCAAGUCGAGUGUGAAAGCCCGGGGCUCAACCCCGGAAGGUCGCUCGAAACUGCCUCGCUCGAGUCCCGGAGAGGAAGGCGGAAUUCCCGGUGUAGAGGUGAAAUUCGUAGAUAUCGGGAGGAACACCAGCGGCGAAGGCGGCCUUCUGGACGGUGACUGACGCUGAGACGCGAAAGCGUGGGGAGCAAACAGGAUUAGAUACCCUGGUAGUCCACGCCGUAAACUUUGGGUGCUAGGUGUCGCGGGUAUUGACCCCUGCGGUGCCGCCGCUAACGCAUUAAGCACCCCGCCUGGGGAGUACGGUCGCAAGGCUA
Molecule: ribosomal RNA, 469 nt
Filed under: uncultured Pseudomonadota bacterium
Lineage: Bacteria; Pseudomonadati; Pseudomonadota
Description: bacterial SSU rRNA
Rfam family: Bacterial small subunit ribosomal RNA
Source: RNAcentral